UAUGUUUCUGCUCCUUCAGAAUGAAAACUGUUAGCUUUCUGAAUCCUCCUAUUUAUCCAAGGUGAGGGAAGACUUUUUAAAGUGGCCAAAAGGAGCACAGGACUUGAGUAUUAAAAUAUAAAGGUGGCCCCCAUUCCAGAUCUUUGGUACAGUCAUCAACUAUAAUAAUCUGAUUGCCCACCCCACCAAAACAUAGCACAUUUUGUAAUUAGAAGUGAUUUUGAUUUUCCUUUUGACCAUGUAAACAAUAGGGGAAAUGCCUUGGGAAACUACUUUGCAAUGCACUCUCAUUUCUCUUAAAUACACAACCAGUUCUCCCUUUGAUAAGUUCAUGGGAGGAAAGAAUAGUGUAGGCCAAGGUUAUCGCUUUCGCUCCCCUCUCUGUGUCCUUUUUUUUUCCUUUUCCUUGCGCUCCUGCUUGGCUAGUUUGUCUCUCUCCCUCUGCAGCUUGUCCUGUUCCUUCUUCCUUUGGGAUUCAUCCCGAAGUGAGUCUCGCUCCAGUUUUCGGGCAUUAAGGACAUCUUCCACAUUGGUGUUUCGGAACAGAACUACAGAAACAGCUCCAAAUAAUGAUGGACUGAUCAAGAAGCUGGUACCAAGAAGUCUCGAAGUUAUUUCAACAGCUUCAUGGAGUGUUUGGAAACUUCCCAGCUGUAAAUAAAAACUACCUUAAAUUGCCUGCCUCCUACUCUUUCUCCCUAUAAUCUGUAAUGUUGUGGUCCAAAAAAAGAACUGAUUCCACUGUCUUGUAUUU
RNAcentral lists this long non-coding RNA (754 nucleotides) under Pan troglodytes (chimpanzee). RNAcentral describes it as "long non-coding RNA NONPTRT007097". Lineage: Eukaryota; Metazoa; Chordata; Mammalia; Primates; Hominidae. The record is from RNAcentral.